RNAcentral lists this ribosomal RNA (1870 nucleotides) under Escherichia coli. RNAcentral's name for it is "partial 23S ribosomal RNA". It matches the Rfam family "Bacterial large subunit ribosomal RNA", at positions 1 to 1887 of the family's 2925-position model. Lineage: Bacteria; Pseudomonadati; Pseudomonadota; Gammaproteobacteria; Enterobacterales; Enterobacteriaceae. The record is from RNAcentral.
GGGUUGUGAGGUUAAGCGACUAAGCGUACACGGUGGAUGCCCUGGCAGUCAGAGGCGAUGAAGGACGUGCUAAUCUGCGAUAAGCGUCGGUAAGGUGAUAUGAACCGUUAUAACCGGCGAUUUCCGAAUGGGGAAACCCAGUGUGAUUCGUCACACUAUCAUUAACUGAAUCCAUAGGUUAAUGAGGCGAACCGGGGGAACUGAAACAUCUAAGUACCCCGAGGAAAAGAAAUCAACCGAGAUUCCCCCAGUAGCGGCGAGCGAACGGGGAGCAGCCCAGAGCCUGAAUCAGUGUGUGUGUUAGUGGAAGCGUCUGGAAAGGCGCGCGAUACAGGGUGACAGCCCCGUACACAAAAAUGCACAUGCUGUGAGCUCGAUGAGUAGGGCGGGACACGUGGUAUCCUGUCUGAAUAUGGGGGGACCAUCCUCCAAGGCUAAAUACUCCUGACUGACCGAUAGUGAACCAGUACCGUGAGGGAAAGGCGAAAAGAACCCCGGCGAGGGGAGUGAAAAAGAACCUGAAACCGUGUACGUACAAGCAGUGGGAGCACGCUUAGGCGUGUGACUGCGUACCUUUUGUAUAAUGGGUCAGCGACUUAUAUUCUGUAGCAAGGUUAACCGAAUAGGGGAGCCGAAGGGAAACCGAGUCUUAACUGGGCGUUAAGUUGCAGGGUAUAGACCCGAAACCCGGUGAUCUAGCCAUGGGCAGGUUGAAGGUUGGGUAACACUAACUGGAGGACCGAACCGACUAAUGUUGAAAAAUUAGCGGAUGACUUGUGGCUGGGGGUGAAAGGCCAAUCAAACCGGGAGAUAGCUGGUUCUCCCCGAAAGCUAUUUAGGUAGCGCCUCGUGAAUUCAUCUCCGGGGGUAGAGCACUGUUUCGGCAAGGGGGUCAUCCCGACUUACCAACCCGAUGCAAACUGCGAAUACCGGAGAAUGUUAUCACGGGAGACACACGGCGGGUGCUAACGUCCGUCGUGAAGAGGGAAACAACCCAGACCGCCAGCUAAGGUCCCAAAGUCAUGGUUAAGUGGGAAACGAUGUGGGAAGGCCCAGACAGCCAGGAUGUUGGCUUAGAAGCAGCCAUCAUUUAAAGAAAGCGUAAUAGCUCACUGGUCGAGUCGGCCUGCGCGGAAGAUGUAACGGGGCUAAACCAUGCACCGAAGCUGCGGCAGCGACGCUGAUGCGUUGUUGGGUAGGGGAGCGUUCUGUAAGCCUGUGAAGGUGUGCUGUGAGGCAUGCUGGAGGUAUCAGAAGUGCGAAUGCUGACAUAAGUAACGAUAAAGCGGGUGAAAAGCCCGCUCGCCGGAAGACCAAGGGUUCCUGUCCAACGUUAAUCGGGGCAGGGUGAGUCGACCCCUAAGGCGAGGCCGAAAGGCGUAGUCGAUGGGAAACAGGUUAAUAUUCCUGUACUUGGUGUUACUGCGAAGGGGGGACGGAGAAGGCUAUGUUGGCCGGGCGACGGUUGUCCCGGUUUAAGCGUGUAGGCUGGUUUUCCAGGCAAAUCCGGAAAAUCAAGGCUGAGGCGUGAUGACGAGGCACUACGGUGCUGAAGCAACAAAUGCCCUGCUUCCAGGAAAAGCCUCUAAGCAUCAGGUAACAUCAAAUCGUACCCCAAACCGACACAGGUGGUCAGGUAGAGAAUACCAAGGCGCUUGAGAGAACUCGGGUGAAGGAACUAGGCAAAAUGGUGCCGUAACUUCGGGAGAAGGCACGCUGAUAUGUAGGUGAAGCGACUUGCUCGUGGAGCUGAAAUCAGUCGAAGAUACCAGCUGGCUGCAACUGUUUAUUAAAAACACAGCACUGUGCAAACACGAAAGUGGACGUAUACGGUGUGACGCCUGCCCGGUGCCGGAAGGUUAAUUGAUGG